UACGGAGGCAGCAGUGGGGAAUAUUGCACAAUGGGCGCAAGCCUGAUGCAGCCAUGCCGCGUGUAUGAAGAAGGCCUUCGGGUUGUAAAGUACUUUCAGCAGUGAGGAAGGUGGGUAUGUUAAUAGCAUACUCAUUUGACGUUAGCUGCAGAAGAAGCACCGGCUAACUCCGUGCCAGCAGCCGCGGUAAUACGGAGGGUGCGAGCGUUAAUCGGAAUUACUGGGCGUAAAGCGCAUGCAGGUGGUUUGUUAAGUCAGAUGUGAAAGCCCGGGGCUCAACCUCGGAAUUGCAUUUGAAACUGGCAAACUAGAGUACUGUAGAGGGGGUAGAAUUUCAGGUGUAGCGGUGAAAUGCGUAGAGAUCUGAAGGAAUACCGGUGGCGAAGGCGGCCCCCUGGACAGAUACUGACACUCAGAUGCGAAAGCGUGGGGAGCAAACAGGAUUAGAUACCCUGGAG
Molecule: ribosomal RNA, 458 nt
Filed under: uncultured bacterium
Lineage: Bacteria
Description: bacterial SSU rRNA
Rfam family: Bacterial small subunit ribosomal RNA
Source: RNAcentral